UCUAUUACCCAAUCACUCCUUCCAAUCAAGUUUUCUUGGAGCAUGUCUCAUACAUGAACCAGAUAUUUGACUUCAGACUGACUUCCAUAUUAACAGUAAAAUGUUAAAAAAAAACUUAAAUUAUACCUUGAUAACAUCCUGAUACUUGUAUCAAAACAUUAUCUUUACAAACAUAACAUAGAUAUAAAUUAAAAAUACUAUGUAAUGUCUGCAAUUAAAUACUAUUAAAAAUAAUAAAUAUUCAUCCAGACGAACCAUUGAAAAAUAAUAAAAUUUAAAAUUAUCUACACUACUGUAAACACUUCACCGUUAUAACAUAUGAAAAUAAGUCUUACUUGUGAACCGUUUAAUACUAUUAUCUAUCUUUCUAUUUAAUAAUUAAAUACAUAUAACCAUUUCACACUCAAUCCCAUAUUUGAAAUAACUUGAUAAAAUUUAUUUAAAAAUAAUGCAUUAAUAUCUCUUUAGAAUAUAAAAUUGUGAUAAUGCAUGUUCAUUGACAUGUCAUCAUCGUGUUUUGCUGUCAAAGAUCUCAUUCACUAUGAGGUGUGUAAUUAGUCAUGGUCUUAGCUUCUUGUGAAGUGUAUAGUCAACAAAAACUACCCUUUGAAAAUGGGUCGAAUCGUCAUACGAUUUUAGCCUACUGAUAAGAAUUUGUUGACUAUUUUGUGUAUUUCUUUGUAAUAAAAAAUAUCAACAAAUCCAGGUUGAUUGCAAUCCGACAUUUGUCUAAUUGUAAAAAUCCAUAUAUACAAAAAUAUUACAAACUUUCACACACUUCUUGCAAAAACAUCAAAUACCCAUUAGUCUAUUCUUAUAAUUAAAUAGUUAAUCGUCUUUCAUUGACUUUCAUUUCCCAAUUCACUCAAUCUAUCCCAGACCAUUUCUACAGAUAGCCAAAGUCACGAUAUGCAACCAGAGUUAAAAUGCAUCCAAUAAAACUUACUUUAAAAAACAAUAUUUCAAACAACUCCAAGCUCCCUCCUAUAUAUUGUAUAACAAUAUCAAACGUAAUGUGUAUUGACAAAACUGUUUAUAUUUAAGUUGAAGUUGUUUGUUAAGAUAACGUUAAUACCGUACCGUUUUAUUUAAGGUUACGUUAUUACAUCUUAUCAUGGCAACACUAAAACUCAAUAUUUUAUCAUGGCAUCCCCGCAAUUAAGCGUCCCGGAAGUGACAGAGGGGAUGUGUUAAGCUUCUCUCUGAUCAAACUGACCGUUGUCACUGGCUCAGUUUUGAAUUUCACCCUGUGUCGUGAAGUGAAAUGUAAUUGUGAAGUGUAAUGAAUUUUGUUGCUGAAGAAAAUAAUUGGCUCUAAUGAAUGAAUCCGGGUUGCUGGAUGAGUUGGGUGACCCUGAAUCUACCCUAAAGAUACGUAAGGCGUUUUUGAGUAAGCUGAUAUGUAAUUAGUCCUCCUAAUUAUAUGACGACAUUUUAUAAAUGUUCCAAGUAACGAGGUAUCGAGUGCCACUGAAUGCUGUCCUGUUAUUUUAUUUUGAGCUAAACUACCACAUUCAGCAUCUCUACACUCGACCCGCGACCCCAAGAACCAGUGUUCUUCUACUCUAGACUUGGUAAUAUUAGUCCCUACAAUGCAAGUUACAUCGAUAGAGUGAAGCCAAGAGGAGAAAAAAUUAUAUUGAUAAUAUUAUAAUAUAUAGAUAUAAUUUAAAAAUUUCAAGAGAAAUCCAAAUCAUAUUGUUCACAUUCCAGUUUUCUUAUGGCAGCAAAAAUGUAGCCGACGAGGCUACUCUAUGUAAUAAACUAUUUAUAUAUAUAUAAUCCUGGUCAUUCCGGCACCAAAAAUGUACCUUACCCCAUCUACUACUAAACUAAUUAACUAAAAUUCAACCAGGAUUAAAUAAAAAUAGGAAAAUAAAUAUAAUUUGGCCAUGUGAUCGUCUAGUGUAUUUACGUUGUGAACCUUAGUACCCUUCGUCUUUUAUGUGAAAACUGAUAUAAUUUGGAUUUUUCGAA
Long non-coding RNA from Cydia pomonella (codling moth), 1977 nucleotides. RefSeq lists it as uncharacterized. The transcript is spliced from 6 exons. The record is from RefSeq and is a predicted model, not a curated record. Lineage: Eukaryota; Metazoa; Arthropoda; Insecta; Lepidoptera; Tortricidae.